UCUUUGUUAGUAUAUCGGUUAGUACACGCGCUUGUCAUAUUCAAUGUCCGCGCGAAAGCUGGGUUCGAUUCCCAGACAGAGAG
Molecule: non-coding RNA, 83 nt
Organism: Hypholoma sublateritium FD-334 SS-4
Lineage: Eukaryota; Fungi; Basidiomycota; Agaricomycetes; Agaricales; Strophariaceae
Source: the annotation of a GenBank genome assembly